RNAcentral lists this ribosomal RNA (481 nucleotides) under uncultured bacterium. Its description in RNAcentral is "bacterial SSU rRNA". It matches the Rfam family "Bacterial small subunit ribosomal RNA", at positions 338 to 819 of the family's 1533-position model. The record is from RNAcentral.
CCUACGGGAGGCAGCAGUAAGGAAUAUUGGACAAUGGUCGCAAGACUGAUCCAGCCAUGCCGCGUGCAGGAUGACUGCCCUAUGGGUUGUAAACUGCUUUUGUACGGGAAUAAACCCCUCUACGUGUAGAGGGCUGAAUGUACCGUAAGAAUAAGGGUCGGCUAACUUCGUGCCAGCAGCCGCGGUAAGACGAAGGACCCAAGCGUUAUCCGGAUUCAUUGGGUUUAAAGGGUGCGUAGGCGGAUUGAUAAGUCAGUGGUGAAAGCCUGUUGCUUAACAACAGAACUGCCAUUGAUACUGUUGAUCUUGAAUAUGUUUGAUGUGGGCGGAAUAUGACAUGUAGCGGUGAAAUGCUUAGAUAUGUCAUAGAACACCGAUUGCGAAGGCAGCUCACAAAGCCAUUAUUGACGCUGAGCACGAAGACGUGGAGUACAACAGAUAGAUACCUACGUAGUCGACGCUGUAACUUAGUAUCUACUCG